AACAAAGGGAUCCGACGGUCCAGAUUCGACCCAACUUCGUCAAAUGUAUGUAUAAAUACAAAAAUUGAACUUAUAUGUCUCUCAAUAAUGUAACUGAGUCACUCUCUCUCUCUCUCUCUUUUCUUAAAACAUGGAUCUAGUCUCUCUCUCUCUCUUUCUCCCUCUCCUUUCUCUCUGGUAUAAAGAAUUUAUUUUAUGUUCUCCCUUAUAAAACUCAAAAAAAGAUAGAUACAAAUCUUGGGAAAGAAAAUGAAAGAGGUCAGGAGGAGGAAACAGUUCACAGAUUCUCUCAGCCUUUGGUAAUAUUAUCUCUUGAGGGGUAAUUUCGUCAUUUAAGCAAGAUCAGGGACGGUUGCCUCAGAUUAAAAACAAUGCCGGUGUUUCUCGUCUGUACUACCCCUUUUAACCCGGCGAGUUUGACCCUCGGCGUUUUAAUUCUACAACAUAUAAUUCUUUGCUUUCGCUUUAUGUGUAUCUCUCUAUCAAUUAAAGUGUGAUGCAAUUUUUUUAUAAAUAUUUAUGAGGAGAUUGGAAUUUUUAUAACUCAAGAAAAUGGACAGAGAGAGUAUUCAAGAAACUGCUGACCUAGCAAAAGUGAAAGCAAGACAAGAAAAAAAUUUAACAAAAAUUAAGCGUGGGCCCCCAUGUAAGGCAGUUCAGACUCCGAUAUUACCAAUACACUAGUAUUUUUUUUAAAAAAACAUUUAAUUAAAGAAAAAUCGUAGGAAGAAAAAAAGCACACAUGACUCUAACAACGGCCGUGGAACAGUCACUGGAUAAAUUAAAUCAAUCUGAGCCGUCCAUGUCAGAUUUAUCGGGCACCUUGAUCGGGCAACGUCAUCAAACAGAUCUUAACCGUCAGAUCUCAUAUCAACGGUGAGGAGAUGCACUAAGCGUUUUAACGGGCAGGUUUCA
This 915-nucleotide long non-coding RNA is filed under the name Capsella grandiflora. RNAcentral's name for it is "long non-coding RNA (CGRA_LNC000065)". The record is from RNAcentral. Lineage: Eukaryota; Viridiplantae; Streptophyta; Magnoliopsida; Brassicales; Brassicaceae.